This 328-nucleotide ribosomal RNA is filed under the name uncultured eukaryote. Its description in RNAcentral is "partial 18S ribosomal RNA". It matches the Rfam family "Eukaryotic small subunit ribosomal RNA", at positions 1470 to 1796 of the family's 1831-position model. The record is from RNAcentral.
CCCUUAGAUGUCCUGGGCUGCACGCGCGCUACACUGAUGCGUCCAAUAAGCACCUAACCUAAUCCGAAGGGACCGGGUAACCUUAGCAAAGCGCAUCGUGAUGGGGAUAGAUUAUUGCAAUUAUUAAUCUUCAACGAGGAAUGCCUAGUAGGCGCAAGUCAUCAGCUUGCGUCGAUUACGUCCCUGCCCUUUGUACACACCGCCCGUCGCUCCUACCGAUUGGGUGUGCUGGUGAAAUGUUCGGAUCGGCCGUUUGUCGCGGUUUCCGCGGCUCGUGGCUGAGAAGUUCAUUAAACCCUCCCACCUAGAGGAAGGAGAAGUCGUAACA